ACAAGUGCAGUGUGGAAAGGCCAGGCCUCAAGUGUCCAAGUUUAUAGGGAACUCAGAGGGUCCCAAGGCAAGGCUCACAAGGAGGGGGCAGAACUUAAAGGCUAAGAAAGUGUGCAAGUACAGAUCAGUAUGCUAAAAGGUAAAAGGAGAGGGAAAUAGCUAUAGAUAAGCACAAAUAAGGGGUUCAGGGGAAUAGGGAGAUUGUAAAGAGCUUAUUGUUUAGCCACGGGCAGACUCUAGGCAUGCCCAGUAAUAGAGAGUGCUAGCACACCUAUAAGCCUUCCAGAACAUAUGUUAUUAGAGACUAGGAUCCCAGGGGAUCAAAUUUGAUACAUGGAUAAUAACUUGCAAUAUUGUCAUACUUUAAAUCAUAGCUUAAAAACAUAGUGGUUAGGGGUUUUGGGUUCAUAGUAGGACAUGAAGAAAGAAAUCAGUAUGUUAGAAUGAGUGUUGAACUAUACACAAACAGUAAACAGGAAUACAAAAGCAGUAAAUAAACCCAUUGUAGUGGGGCUAAAACUUAAAUCAGGACAUACUAGUUUCAAGGAAACAAAUAGAGAAAGCAAGCAACAGGUCUUGUAAUAAGCCACAGUAUAAGCAAACAAGAGAGAAAACGUUUGAGUGUAUGUGCAAGUUUAGAAAGACUACCAGUGAUGAUGUUUGUUAAUCAAAGAAUCGUGUAUUUAUAGUGAGAAAAAUAGGCGGAAAUAAGGUAAGAAAAUAAUUAAGAAACUGGGUAUCAAUUAGAAUCAAUCAAUACAAGACUUUCUUUAAUUGAGGAAUUUAAAUGGUAAUGAUCAAGGAAAUUAUUUAAGGAAAGAGAUCAAACAAACAUUUCUGUGCAAAGUAGGUAAUUAAGGGUAAAUACAUAAGAAAUUACUUAAUGGCAGAAUUUUGAAACACACAGUUACAUAAAUAAGGUAAAAAAUCAAUUAGUAGACAGUAAAUCAAGGAUCAAAGAUUUUGUAAUCACUGGUCCAUGAAUGAACCAAGUCAGAAAAGCUAAGGAAAGUUUUUUACUUAAAUUGAGUCAUAGGGAAAUUAGAAAACAAGGAAAGAAAUCAAUCAAACCUAUCUAAAGAAAGUCUAAAAUUAAUCAAAACUGAAAGCCAUUUUAGAGAGAAGUUCAGCACAUAUAAAGAGCAUACAAACAUGCUAAGCUGAAUUUAGGGCAAAGAAAAAUGUCAUUCCAUUACAAAAUCAGUAGGUAAUAGGCUAUGGGAUCAUAAUAGUCAAAUAGGUCAGUAAUAUUAGAGAGAUAGUAUCAAAUAGCAUACAAAAGGUCCAGUGUAAAGCCCUUGGAAGAGUUUAGUGGAGAAUCAUAAUUGCUUAAAGAAGCAGAGGUUGAAACAAAAAUUUCAAGACUCAAUUUGAGCAACAGAUGAAAAAAAUUCAAAAACUCGAAAUAGUUAGGGUUUCUGAAAUCAGACAAUUUCAAAGAUGAAGAACAAUCAUAUCGCAUAGCCAAUGUUCUCAAACUCAGAUGAACCCCCAAAUUCUAGGGUUUUACUAUCAAUCAGGUGCAGAGAUGAGAGGACAAGUAAUCAAGGAAAAAAAUACUAAUCAAAAUAGGUUCAGAGGUCUUAAUAAAGAACUGAGACCUUUAACAUGCUCUUUCCGUAGCAGGAACUCAUGAGAAGCAUAGUAAAAGAACAACAUGUGAAACACAGUAGAGGAACUGAAAGAAACAUAGUAGAAGAACUGAUAAGAAACCAAAUGAAAGAAACUAAUAAUAAUAGUAGGAGAAGCAUAUUAGAAUAAACUUAACAAGAACAUAGUAGGAGAAAUAUAGUAGAUGAAACAUAGUAGGAAAAACACACAAAGAACACAUAGAGAAACAUAUAAAAUCGAUAGAGGAAAUUGAGAAGAACAUGGUAGGAGAAACUUAACAAGAAACAUAGUAGAAGAAGCACACAAAGAACACAUUAGAAGAAACAUAGUAGGAGAAACACAUAAAGAACACAGUACAAAAAACAUCUAAAUAACUCCAAAAAAAACCUAGAUCGCAAAAAUAUAAAGGUUUUGAAAGAAAUAUCAAGAAAUCAUUUAAAAGUUUAGGAAAAUUACGGAUCUAGAACAAAUCUAAAGAAAAUAGAAGAACCUCAAAAGCUAUGGUUUCAGAGGAACCCAAACGGUGAGAAAGGCUUAGAUAGAUUUAAGCAGGACGAGUCGAAGCCAGGCUCGAAACGGACAUGGUUUGUCGGAGCAAGGGAUGGCGAUAAAAAUUGAAUCGAACAAGGUCUGGAUGAAGCUUCUUCAUGGUCAGACCAUGAAACUUCAGCAACCAAGCGUGUAAAAACCAUGGAAGGCUGGUAGGUGGUGAGACCACCAUGGACUCAGGCCAUGAGGUAGCCAGAGAAGGUGAGUGAAACUCAUCGGAGCAAAGGAAAAGGGGAAAUGUUCUAGAGAGAACCAGAGACAGA
RNAcentral lists this long non-coding RNA (2423 nucleotides) under Nicotiana benthamiana. RNAcentral describes it as "long non-coding RNA (NBEN_LNC003779)". The record is from RNAcentral. Lineage: Eukaryota; Viridiplantae; Streptophyta; Magnoliopsida; Solanales; Solanaceae.